This 674-nucleotide ribosomal RNA is filed under the name uncultured archaeon. RNAcentral describes it as "bacterial SSU rRNA". It matches the Rfam family "Archaeal small subunit ribosomal RNA", at positions 203 to 879 of the family's 1478-position model. The record is from RNAcentral.
CAGAGGAUGGGGCUGCGGCCGAUCAGGCCGUUGGCGAGGUAACGGCUCACCAGACCUUUGACCGGUACGGGCCAUGAGAGUGGUAGCCCGGAGAUGGACACUGAGAUAGGGGUCCAGGCCCUACGGGGCGCAGCAGGCGCGAAAACUCCACACUGUACGUAAGUACGAUGGGGUUACCUCGAGUGUAGUCUGUAAAAGAUUGCUUUUCCAUAGAGUAAUAUCCUGUGGGAAUAAGAGGGGGGCAAGACUGGUGUCAGCCGCCGCGGUAACACCAGCCCCUCGAGUGGUAGGGACUUUUAUUUGGCCUAAAGCGUUCGUAGCCGUCUGUAACCGUUGCCCGUUAAAUCCAGCGUCUCAAGCGUUGGACUGCGGGCGAUACCUUACAGAUUGAGGGUGGGAUAGGUAAGCGGUAUUUCUGGGGUAGGGGCGAAAUCCUUUGAUCCCAGGAGGACCACCAGUGGCGAAGGCUGCUUACUAGAACACGCCUGACGGUCAGGAACGAAAGCUGGGGUAGCGAACCGGAUUAGAUACCCGGGUAGUCCCAGCUGUAAACGAUGCGCGCUAGGUGUUGGGUCGGCCAUGCGCCGCCCCAGUGCCGCAGGGAAGCCGUUAAGCGCGCCGCCUGGGGAGUACGGCCGCAAGGCUGAAACUUAAAGGAAUUGGCGGGGGAGCAC